This 272-nucleotide ribosomal RNA is filed under the name uncultured Staphylococcus sp. Its description in RNAcentral is "partial 16S ribosomal RNA". It matches the Rfam family "Bacterial small subunit ribosomal RNA", at positions 89 to 354 of the family's 1533-position model. The record is from RNAcentral. Lineage: Bacteria; Bacillati; Bacillota; Bacilli; Caryophanales; Staphylococcaceae.
ACGUUAGCGGCGGACGGGUGAGUAACACGUGGGUAACCUACCUAUAAGACUGGGAUAACUUCGGGAAACCGGAGCUAAUACCGGAUAAUAUUUCAACCGCAUGGUUCGAUAGUGAAAGAUGGUUUUGCUAUCACUUAUAGAUGGACCUGCGCCGUAUUAGCUAGUUGGUAAGGUAACGGCUUACCAAGGCGACGAUACGUAGCCGACCUGAGAGGGUGAUCGGCCACACUGGAACUGAGACACGGUCCAGACUCCUACGGGAGGCAGCAGGU